UACGUAGGGUGCAAGCGUUGUCCGGAAUUAUUGGGCGUAAAGAGCUCGUAGGCGGUCUGUUGCGUCGGCUGUGAAAACCCGGGGCUCAACUCCGGGCCUGCAGCCGAUACGGGCAGACUAGAGUUCGGCAGGGGAGACUGGAAUUCCUGGUGUAGCGGUGAAAUGCGCAGAUAUCGGGAAGAACACCCGUGGCGAAGGCGGUUCUCUGGGACGGUACUGACGCUGAGACGCGAAAGCGUGGGGAGCGAACAGG
RNAcentral lists this ribosomal RNA (253 nucleotides) under uncultured bacterium. RNAcentral describes it as "partial 16S ribosomal RNA". It matches the Rfam family "Bacterial small subunit ribosomal RNA", at positions 524 to 776 of the family's 1533-position model. The record is from RNAcentral.